Molecule: ribosomal RNA, 415 nt
Filed under: uncultured microorganism
Description: bacterial SSU rRNA
Rfam family: Bacterial small subunit ribosomal RNA
Source: RNAcentral
GAGUUUGAUCCUGGCUCAGAUUGAACGCUGGCGGCAUGCCUUACACAUGCAAGUCGAACGGCAGCAUGAUCUAGCUUGCUAGAUUGAUGGCGAGUGGCGAACGGGUGAGUAAUACAUCGGAACGUGCCCUGUAGUGGGGGAUAACUAGUCGAAAGAUUAGCUAAUACCGCAUACGACCUGAGGGUGAAAGUGGGGGACCGCAAGGCCUCAUGCUAUAGGAGCGGCCGAUGUCUGAUUAGCUAGUUGGUGGGGUAAAGGCCCACCAAGGCGACGAUCAGUAGCUGGUCUGAGAGGACGAUCAGCCACACUGGGACUGAGACACGGCCCAGACUCCUACGGGAGGCAGCAGUGGGGAAUUUUGGACAAUGGGGGCAACCCUGAUCCAGCAAUGCCGCGUGUGUGAAGAAGGCCUCGG